GGGGCCGCCGGCUCCGGCACGGAGGGCGGUGGCGCAGGCGUCCAGAGGGCGGCCAACGCGGGCUCUGUUGAGCUGGCCAAGGACGGUGCCGGUGAGAGCACUGCUUCCAGCGACACGUGCCGCUGACUCAUCUCCCACCACGCGAUGUCCGCCAGUUCAGCGUGGAUCCAUUCACCAAGAAGAAGUGUUUUUAUGCUUCAGAUCGCUUCCUCCAUGACACCCCGAUCCGGGCGGCGCCAGCAGCGAUGGCGAUCGACAAUCGAGUGUGCCUAACUCUGCAUCUAUAACUGGCCUGUCU
This is a non-coding RNA of Triticum urartu, 298 nucleotides long. NCBI's taxonomy places the organism in Eukaryota, Viridiplantae, Streptophyta, Magnoliopsida, Poales, Poaceae. The record is from RefSeq and is a predicted model, not a curated record.